UAACGCGUGGGUAACCUGCCUUGUACUGGGGGAUAGCAGCUGGAAACGGCUGGUAAUACCGCAUAAGCGCACAAUGUUGCAUGACAUGGUGUGAAAAACUCCGGUGGUAUAAGAUGGACCCGCGUCUGAUUAGCUAGUUGGUGAGAUAACAGCCCACCAAGGCGACGAUCAGUAGCCGACCUGAGAGGGUGACCGGCCACAUUGGGACUGAGACACGGCCCAG
Molecule: ribosomal RNA, 223 nt
Filed under: uncultured bacterium
Lineage: Bacteria
Description: partial 16S ribosomal RNA
Rfam family: Bacterial small subunit ribosomal RNA
Source: RNAcentral